UGGACCUACGGGGGGCAGCAGUCGGGAAUAUUGCGCAAUGGAGGAAACUCUGACGCAGUGACGCCGCGUGCAGGAAGAAGGUUUUCGGAUUGUAAACUGCUUUAGAUAGGGAAGAAAAAAAUGACAGUACCUAUAGAAUAAGCUCCGGCUAACUACGUGCCAGCAGCCGCGGUAAUACGUAGGGGGCAAGCGUUAUCCGGAUUCACUGGGCGUAAAGGGAGCGCAGGCGGCAUGGCAAGUCUGAUGUGAAAACCCGGGGCCCAACCCCGGGAGUGCAUUGGAAACUGCCAGGCUGGAGUGUCGGG
This 305-nucleotide ribosomal RNA is filed under the name uncultured bacterium. Its description in RNAcentral is "bacterial SSU rRNA". It matches the Rfam family "Bacterial small subunit ribosomal RNA", at positions 332 to 653 of the family's 1533-position model. The record is from RNAcentral.